CAGUCGCCGCGGGAAUACGUAGGGUGCGAGCGUUAAUCGGAUUCACUGGGCGUAAAGCGUGCGCAGGCGGCCCGUUAAGACAGGUGUGAAAUCCCUGGGCUCAACCUAGGAAUUGCGCUUGUGACUGGCGGGCUCGAGUACGGUAGAGGAGGGUGGAAUUCCUGGUGUAGCAGUGAAAUGCGUAGAGAUCAGGAGGAACACCGAUGGCGAAGGCAGCCCCCUGGGCCUGUACUGACGCUCAUGCACGAAAGCGUGGGGAGCAAACAGGAUUAGAUACCCCUGUAGUCCCUGUCUCUUAUAC
This 301-nucleotide ribosomal RNA is filed under the name uncultured bacterium. RNAcentral describes it as "partial 16S ribosomal RNA". It matches the Rfam family "Bacterial small subunit ribosomal RNA", at positions 509 to 807 of the family's 1533-position model. The record is from RNAcentral.